This 1202-nucleotide long non-coding RNA is filed under the name Chloebia gouldiae (Gouldian finch). RNAcentral's name for it is "Erythrura gouldiae (Gouldian finch) lncRNA (ENSEGOG00005006778.1)". The record is from RNAcentral. Lineage: Eukaryota; Metazoa; Chordata; Aves; Passeriformes; Passeridae.
CCCUGCCGCAGAGCUUCCGCCGCUCCGUGAGCUCAGCGCGCCCGGAGCUCAACACGCCCGGAGCUCACCGCGCCCGGAACUCAUCGCGCUCGGAGCUCACCGCGCCCGGAGCUCAUCGCGCUCGGAGCUCACCGCGCCGUGAGCUCAACGCGCUCGGAGCUCAUCGCGCUCGGAGCUCACCGCGCCGUGAGCUCAACGCGCUCGGAGCUCAUCGCGCUCGGAGCUCACCGCGCCGUGAGCUCAUCGCGCCGCGCCGCCGCGCUGCGGGCACCGCCCCCGGAGCUGGGAGGCAUGGCCGGGGAGGAGCGGCUGGAGGGAGCUGCGGGUGUUCGGGCCGAGGCGGAGCAGGCUCUGGAGAGACCUUUCUGCUCGCUGCAAACGCCUGAAUGGCGGCUGUACCAGCUCUCUUCUCCCAGGCUGUCUGGCGAUGAUAAUCCACUAAAGGAUUAUUUCAUCCAAGUGGCGGUGUCCGAGUCAAAUGCCGGCAACAGGCAGGAAAGCCCAAACCUGUUGAGGCAGACGUCUGCCCAGAUGGGAGGAAUCGGAGCGACGGCCCUUAAGAGGGCGAGGCGGGGGACAUACUUUGUGCCAGCAGAAUAAGUCCAUGGGCUGCACCCGUGAUGGGAGAGCAAGGCCAUGAUGGUGAUGGCUGGAAGUUUGCGGGCUGCGAUGCCGAUGCUGGCCAAAGCAGGCCCCAGGCUGCGCUCUUUGGAGGAGUGCCUUGUCACAUUAGCCGGGCGGCCACUGUGUUUGACGCUCAACCUGGACAGACAGGCCUGCCAGGCAGAAACUGCUCAGGCAGAUGAUGCUGGGGAGGACAAAAAUUAUCCAGCGCAAGACUGAGAAGACAGAUGACACCCAGCAGGAACAGCAAGCCAAAUCUGCAGAAUCCACAAUGCAGCUGGCUAGCCCGGGGCUACCUGCCUCUUUGAAGAGGAAUAGACAUCACCUAUGAGCUGUCAAAUUAGAUCACCGGCCUGAAAAUGCUGAAAGAGAUUUAGUUCUUCCAACAGAGAAGGGAAAGUUUAAUGGAUGAAAAUCUUUCUAAAGGGGCCAAGGUAGUGUGGGAGGGGAAAGGAGAAUCCUUCAGAUGGAGCAACAUUGAAAAAUUAAUCACCUCCCGCCUGCCUGCAGCGUGAGAUGGGAUGUGCUGUAGUCACUACCAGCAUGGAAAAUAAAGGCCACGCCUGCAGGAAGGUGCA